AAUCAGCGGCGAGGACUGGCAGGCCGCCGCGAGGCCCCCAGCCAAUCACGCGGCGCCAAACAAGGCGGCUGGGCAGGGUUUGUACAUGGCGAGGGAAAAGGCCGCGCGCGCCCUGAGGUCCCGCUUCUCGCUGCCCACGCCGCUGACACAACUACUUAACCAUGGAGAGUCCAGAGGCUGAACGCAACAGUCUGACGCCAAGGUCACGGUCACGAUCAAGGUCACGGUUGGAGUCGCCUUCUGAUUCUCCGUCCCGCCGGCGCGUCAAUUCACAGUCCCGGUCGCCCCCGCCCCGCAGACGGUCCUUCUCAAGCCCCCAGUUGUUGCCAUCACAAGACAUGUCUCGAUAUGUGGUUCUGGAAGAAAUUGUCGAUGAAAGGUCCCGCUCCCGCACUCCUCGCCGCCACCGGUCCCGCAGCGGCUCCCCAAGAAAUGGACAUGACAGUCGCCGGUCUCGCCGAUCACGCUCCCCUCGUUCAAGGUCUCCCAUGUCCAAUCGUCGCAGACACAUUGGUACCCGCGAUAACCCCGAGCCAUCGAAAUGUCUUGGUGUGUUCGGCCUCAGUGUAUACACCACCGAGAGACAGCUACACAGCAUCUUUGACAAAUUUGGACCACUAGAGAAGGUUCAAGUUGUACUGGAUUCCAAGACUGGGAAGUCAAGAGGAUUUGCUUUUGUAUACUUUGAGUCCCAAAAAGAUGCCUCUGAUGCCAAGGAUGAGUGCACAGGCAUGGAGAUUGAUGGCAGAAGGAUCAGAGUAGACUAUUCCAUCACCAAGCGUCCCCACACCCCCACCCCAGGCAUCUACAUGGGCAGACCCACCACGCGUGGAGGUCACGACCGAGGGUAUGGUGGGCGAGGUGGCGGAGGGUACAGAGGAGACAGGUACCGCUCUCCCUCACCUCGUUACAGACAGCGUUCCAGUGGAGGUCGCCGUGACUAUUAUGACCGUGGGUACGACCGUGGCGAUCGAAGUUACUAUCGUGGCGGCUAUGAUCGCUAUGACCGACCCCAACACUACGACCGUUACGACAGAUAUGAUCGCUCUUAUGACAAGUACGAUCGCUAUGAACGGUCCAGAUCUCGUUCAUAUUCUCCCCACGACCGGCAAUAGAAGCACAGAAAAUGGCGACCACGUAGACACUGCUCGUCUUCCCCAUCCCUUCCCGUGACGUCACGAUCCAGUUGCCAGAAACUUCUUUACAGCGACUAUACGGCUUCACCCCGAGGAGAUACAAGUAUUGAUGCUUGUGCUACAUCUUCUGUCAUCUUAGAGUAGACACCAAGAGCCUUGCUGGGCUGAAGGCCACCUCAUGCUGGUGGUCCUUCCUCAAAGGUUGUCCAGUGCAAAAAUUAUCUUGAACCAUUGGUCAAUGUGGGUAUUGGAAAUGUGUCAUUUUAAAAUAGAAACCAAUGCUGAUGGCCACCUCAUGCUGGUGGUCCUUCCUCAGGUUGUUUCAGUGCAAAAUUUACCAUGAACCAUUUGACAAUGUGGGUCUUGAAAAUGCGUUCGGCUCAGUUUGAGUAUAUCCUUAUUUAUUGUGAGAGCUUGGCUCAUUGUAAGUCACUCAGGCCAUUACAUGCCAUGCUAGUUUAUUAUUAUUAUCAUUAUCAUUAUUUCACUACACAUGGUAGCACUUAGGUGAGAUCAAACUACCGUAUGAUAUUUUCUGUGGCUAACGCCAUGUACAAGUGUUGUUGGUGGUAGCACUUAGAUGAGAUCAAACUACUGUAUGAUAUUUUCUGUGGCUAAUGCCAUGUACAAGUGUUGUGCUUCAAAUUAUUUUUUUUCCUUUUUUCCUACUGAUAUAUGUAUACCAUUAUUUCUAUAAUUUAUUUUAUUAUUGUAAUUUUUAUGCUAUUACAACUUUUGUGUUGCAAUUACUUAUUAAUUAGUUAUCAGUUUUUAUAGUACUUCCUUUGUUUCAGUUUUCAUUUCCUUUAUAAAUUUAUCUUCUCUUUAUUUUCCAUGUGUGUGGAAAGAAGCAUAGUUUAGAAAAGCAAAGAGAAUGUGGCGAUGUCCACUGGGAGAUGGCAGUGAGGAUGAGAGAUUUAGAUCACUUUCAUUCCACUCCUGUCCAGAUAUUGCCUUCGAUACAAAAUAGUUUUAAGGCAAUGCCAGGUUCAAUAUUAUGAAUGUUUAGAAUGCAAGAGAAUGAGUAUCUAUUAGUUUUGCUUGGAUGUAUGCAAAGAUAUUAGUACACCAGUCAUUUAUUUGUUACAAGAAACUGAAAAUGUAUGCAGGCGAUACUUGGAAUUCAUAAUUUAUAUAAGAAUAAGCUUGCAUUGCCAAAGUCCAAGAUCCCACAUCUCUGUGUGUAUAAAGAACACAAACAUUUAGAAUAUUAACCUUGAGCAUUAUAACAUAUUGCACAUACACUUUUAGAAUGAAUGGUAUGAUGUGAUAAGUGUUCUUAUCACUCACUGAUUACAAUUAAAGAACGAUUCCACCAGCCACCACUAAUAGGAAUUUUUACCAUUCUUGUACAAAUACUUUUUGUAUCCAUUAUGAUCGGAGUUAUAUUUCGACAUUCACUACAAACUGGUAAACUUUUGUGUUGAGGGAGUUAUAACUUCAUAAGUAUUCUAUAAUCUCAAACUUUAAUGUGUACACGCGUCUGUAUUGUUUUAUUGUGUUUGAAGAGAAGUAAUCAAUAAAUGUCAACUUUGAGCAAGUGC
Eriocheir sinensis (Chinese mitten crab) is the source of this 2680-nucleotide RNA transcript. It is a transcript of the gene named transformer-2 protein homolog alpha-like, with no coding region annotated. The transcript has 10 exons. NCBI's taxonomy places the organism in Eukaryota, Metazoa, Arthropoda, Malacostraca, Decapoda, Varunidae. The record is from RefSeq and is a predicted model, not a curated record.